This is an RNA transcript of Hypomesus transpacificus, 1350 nucleotides long. RefSeq lists it as uncharacterized. The record is from RefSeq and is a predicted model, not a curated record. The transcript has 7 exons. NCBI's taxonomy places the organism in Eukaryota, Metazoa, Chordata, Actinopteri, Osmeriformes, Osmeridae.
UUGGGCGGUGAGUGUGUAAUUUGCUACAGCUUCUCUGAAACCACACAUUGAUUUGAGUGACUACAUGUGCAAGAAGGAGGGAGAAGAACAAGAGAACAACAUUCUAGAACCAUCUAUAAGCUCACGGAAGUCAAGCACUAACAGUUACGCAGGAGAGAGUAACUUGUGCGUUUGUCGAAUGUUUGUUUGCUCAACCGUGUGUCUGUUGAGGCAGGAAGCAGACAUCGCAAGGAAAGGUUGUGUGUUUGUAUGCAUGUUGACAUGACGAAACCAGCACUCAUCAAACUCUUCAUAUUGGUCAUCCUCGCCUUCAUCAUCUGCCUACCAGAAUUCUUCAUUACAACCAGAGCAGUGUUGAGAGUGAACCUCCACUGUCACCGCUAUGAUCCCUGUGAUGGGCUGGGCAGUGGAGAGAGGGCGGAUGAGGGAAGGGGGGAAAGUGGGAUGGGGGACCUGUGUGACUCCCCUCUGGUCCCAGGAGGUCAGGGUGGCAUGGCUUCUGAGAAGCCUCUCUGCUUCAUGAACAAUACAAACAGGAAGAGAAACAGGAAGAGUACAAUAACCACCAGUGACCAUGCAGACACCAAUGCAGACACCGGCUGGUAUAUGUGUGACAUGGAUGUGGACUUCCUGGAUCUCCAUGGCAAUGCCUCUCUCUCAGGUGAGAGUGUAGAGUUGUGGAUGGUGGUCCAGCCAGUCAACGUGACCCUCUACAGCCAUGUCAAGCAUGGCUCUAUCCUCAACACACCAGAGGACCAGAAAGAGGAAGAGGAGACAGUGAGAUUAUUAAACUGCUGCCUUCCAGGCUUACAUACUUACAAAUCAACCAAUCACAGUAAGUGUCUACUCCAAAUGACCAAUCAGAAGAUCCUGGAGUCCCAGACACAGUCACAGACACACCCUCAGAGAAAUGAGGGUUGGUGUGUGUACAGGGUGCUGUAUCUGGCUCUGCCCUGUGUCGCCCUGCUACUGGUCUUCACCUUCAUCCUGAGUCAGGUAGAAUGGAAGAAGUUCUGCUGCCACAGUUCUCAGAGAAACCCAAUGUCUUCCCUGCCAGACUCUACAAAGCAAGAGCACACAUAAUUGAUGAAAGGGGGCUGAAGAUAAAGAUGGCCACUACUCUCAAUGGCAAGUGCUUUGGUUACAUUAAACUUCAUUCUACUGAUCAAAUUCAAACAAAUCUAUCCUAAGGAUAGGCAUGUUCAAAUACCUUGUUCAAUCUCUGUAAGGUGUCUUGCCGUCCAAUAGGUGGCUCAACCAGUGUCUACGAGUCCCAUUGUCCAAUAAGAGACCUCGACAGUGACUACGGAUCCCGUUGUCCAACUCUAUCACCCAUUCAUGAGUCUGCAG